RNAcentral lists this transfer RNA (64 nucleotides) under Microgecko persicus euphorbiacola. RNAcentral describes it as "tRNA-Trp". Lineage: Eukaryota; Metazoa; Chordata; Lepidosauria; Squamata; Gekkonidae. The record is from RNAcentral.
AAACUUAGGUUAAUUUACCAAACCGGGGGCCUUCAAAGCCCCAAACAUGAGCUCAUAUCCUCCU